RNAcentral lists this long non-coding RNA (500 nucleotides) under Androctonus crassicauda. The record is from RNAcentral. Lineage: Eukaryota; Metazoa; Arthropoda; Arachnida; Scorpiones; Buthidae.
UAAUAAGCUACAAUUCGCUUCAGUAACUCAAAAAAAAUUUAUAAAAAAAUAAAACUGUCGGUAAUCUUUUUUCCCCGACUCUAAGAGUUACUGACACUGUAUGCAAAGAUUCGGUUGUUGAUAUUUUUUGGUGGAGUUAUCCAAAAUAUGGAAUUUGGGCAAAACUUUGAUUUCGAUCAAUCGAGAUGUCCGAUGUCCGAUUUGAUCGAUCAAGAUCAGAACGGGCAUCGGACGCGCGCCGCGAAACCGAUGGCGAUUAAAAAGGAUAACAGACACUUGGUGGAGAGUACAGAAAACCGCUUUGUUUUUGCCCAUCGGGACGUUAUUGCUCUGGUUAUAUUUAGGCGCCGAGGCGCGACUGCUUGAAUAAACAUCGCUCACUUCUCUCGCGUGUUUUGCUUCCUAUCUUCCGUAUUUGACUUAUUAUUAUUAUUUUUUAUUUAUUUAUUCGACAGCCAACUCACAAAUGACGAUAGGAAAACUAGUACUGCCGCUUUUGG